CACGUAGGCGGAUUGUUAAGUUAGGGGUGAAAUCCCAGGGCUCAACCCUGGAACUGCCUUUAAUACUGGCAAUCUCGAGUCCGAGAGAGGUGAGUGGAAUUCCGAGUGUAGAGGUGAAAUUCGUAGAUAUUCGGAGGAACACCAGUGGCGAAGGCGGCACACUGGCCCGUAACUGACGCUGAGGCGCGAAAGCGUGGGGAGCAAACA
RNAcentral lists this ribosomal RNA (207 nucleotides) under uncultured bacterium. Its description in RNAcentral is "partial 16S ribosomal RNA". It matches the Rfam family "Bacterial small subunit ribosomal RNA", at positions 568 to 774 of the family's 1533-position model. The record is from RNAcentral.